ACGCACGUGUGAAACUUGAAGGAAUUGACGGAAGGGCACCACAAGAACGCGUGGAGCAUGUGGCUUAAUUUGACCCAACGCGGGAAAUCUUACCGGGUCCGGACACACUGAGGAUUGACAGGCAAUAUUAAAUAAAGAAAAUUUUGGACUAUCUGAUAUUUAUGUUAAAUAUGCUAGUCCUUUCAUGAUUAUGUGAUAGGUGGUGCAUGGCCGUUCUUAGUUCGUGGAGUGAUCUGUCUGCUUAAUUGCGUUUCACUAAGGGCUUAUCUAAUUAUAACGUGUGUUGCUAGAGUUUUAUACCUUUGUGACCCCUUUAAUUAGUGUGUGUCUAUAAUGGUAGCUUUGGCUCACACAAUUAAGUCCUGAAAGCAACGAACGUGACCG
RNAcentral lists this ribosomal RNA (384 nucleotides) under Foraminifera environmental sample. RNAcentral's name for it is "SSU rRNA". It matches the Rfam family "Eukaryotic small subunit ribosomal RNA", at positions 1129 to 1436 of the family's 1831-position model. The record is from RNAcentral. Lineage: Eukaryota; Foraminifera.